UACGAUAGGCCCAAACGUUAUUCGGAAUUACUGGGCUUAAAGAGUUCGUAGGCGGCGCAGAAAGUAGGGUGUGAAAGCCCUCGGCUCAACCGAGGAAUUGCGCUCUAAACUACUGUGCUUGAGGAAUCUAGAGGUGAGCGGAACUGAUGGUGGAGCGGUGAAAUGCGUUGAUAUCAUCAGGAACACCGGAGGCGAAGGCGGCUCACUGGGGAUUUUCUGACGCUGAGGAACGAAAGCCAGGGGAGCGAACGGG
RNAcentral lists this ribosomal RNA (253 nucleotides) under uncultured bacterium. RNAcentral's name for it is "partial 16S ribosomal RNA". It matches the Rfam family "Bacterial small subunit ribosomal RNA", at positions 524 to 776 of the family's 1533-position model. The record is from RNAcentral.